RNAcentral lists this ribosomal RNA (396 nucleotides) under uncultured bacterium. RNAcentral describes it as "partial 16S ribosomal RNA". It matches the Rfam family "Bacterial small subunit ribosomal RNA", at positions 523 to 918 of the family's 1533-position model. The record is from RNAcentral.
AUACGUAGGGGGCGAGCGUUAUCCGGAAUUAUUGGGCGUAAAGAGUACGUAGGUGGUUUUGUAAGCGCAAGGUGAAAGACCGCAGCUUAACUGCGGUGAGCCUUGUGAACUGCAAGACUUGAGUGCAGGAGGGGAAAGUGGAAUUCCUAGUGUAGCGGUGAAAUGCGUAGAUAUUAGGAGGAACACCGGUGGCGAAGGCGGCUUUCUGGACUGUAACUGACGCUGAGGCGCGAAAGCGUGGGGAGCGAACAGGAUUAGAUACCCUGGUAGUCCACGCUGUAAACGAUGGAUACUAGGUGUAGGGGGUAUCGACUCCCUCUGUGCCGGAGCGAACGCAAUAAGUAUCCCGCCUGGGGAGUACGGCCGCAAGGUUGAAACUCAAAUGAAUUGGCGGGG